UUUUUUGUUUUUGGUAGAAUUGUUGAUUAGGAGAGUGGUUCAAACUUCAAAGCUUGCUGAUAUCAAGUGAUUUAUGGAAUCAAUAAAGCAAUGAUACUCCUUACACCCACUAAUCAAUUCAAUUGCAUUGAUACAAGUCAGAAGAGGACGAUGCAGUCUAUAGAUGCAAUGGAUCUGUUCAUAUUCAACUUCAUCUCAUCAUGUGGGUCUGAACUAGCAACCAUAACUAAUUCCAUCUGGCCAUUCUGGAUCUAAUGCUUGUUCUUUUCCCUUUAACACUGCCUUGAUUUUAUGCCACGCAUAAUUGUAUAUUGCAUUGCUAAUCCAUUGAGAUCCCAUUUGCACUAUUUAGCUGCAUACAGAUGAUAAGGUACGUAUCAUUGGUUAGCUAGAGAUUUGAUUUAAGAAUUUAUAUUAUGUGUAUUGAAAAGGUGUAAUUUC
This 441-nucleotide long non-coding RNA is filed under the name Glycine max (soybean). Its description in RNAcentral is "long non-coding RNA (GMAX_LNC002737)". Lineage: Eukaryota; Viridiplantae; Streptophyta; Magnoliopsida; Fabales; Fabaceae. The record is from RNAcentral.